This 451-nucleotide ribosomal RNA is filed under the name uncultured bacterium. RNAcentral describes it as "partial 16S ribosomal RNA". It matches the Rfam family "Bacterial small subunit ribosomal RNA", at positions 354 to 796 of the family's 1533-position model. The record is from RNAcentral.
GUGGGGAAUAUUGGACAAUGGGCGAAAGCCUGAUCCAGCCAUGCCGCGUGUGUGAAGAAGGCCUUUUGGUUGUAAAGCACUUUAAGCGAGGAGGAGGCUACUUGGAUUAAUACUCUAGGAUAGUGGACGUUACUCGCAGAAUAAGCACCGGCUAACUCUGUGCCAGCAGCCGCGGUAAUACAGAGGGUGCGAGCGUUAAUCGGAUUUACUGGGCGUAAAGCGUGCGUAGGCGGCUUUUUAAGUCGGAUGUGAAAUCCCUGAGCUUAACUUAGGAAUUGCAUUCGAUACUGGGAAGCUAGAGUAUGGGAGAGGAUGGUAGAAUUCCAGGUGUAGCGGUGAAAUGCGUAGAGAUCUGGAGGAAUACCGAUGGCGAAGGCAGCCAUCUGGCCUAAUACUGACGCUGAGGUACGAAAGCAUGGGGAGCAAACAGGAUUAGAUACCCCUGUAGUCC